GACGAACGCUGGCGGCGUGCUUAACACAUGCAAGUCGAACGGAAAGGCCCUGCUUUUGUGGGGUGCUCGAGUGGCGAACGGGUGAGUAACACGUGAGUAACCUGCCCUUGACUUUGGGAUAACUUCAGGAAACUGGGGCUAAUACCGGAUAGGAGCCCCUGCUGCAUGGUGGGGGUUGGAAAGUUUCGGCGGUUGGGGAUGGACUCGCGGCUUAUCAGCUUGUUGGUGGGGUAGUGGCUUACCAAGGCUUUGACGGGUAGCCGGCCUGAGAGGGUGACCGGCCACAUUGGGACUGAGAUACGGCCCAGACUCCUACGGGAGGCAGCAGUGGGGAAUAUUGCACAAUGGGCGGAAGCCUGGUGCAGCAACGCCGCGUGCGGGAUGACGGCCUUCGGGUUGUAAACCGCUUUCGCCUGUGACGAAGCGUGAGUGACGGUAAUGGGUAAAGAAGCACCGGCUAACUACGUG
Molecule: ribosomal RNA, 468 nt
Filed under: uncultured bacterium
Lineage: Bacteria
Description: partial 16S ribosomal RNA
Rfam family: Bacterial small subunit ribosomal RNA
Source: RNAcentral